This 716-nucleotide long non-coding RNA is filed under the name Salvator merianae (Argentine black and white tegu). Its description in RNAcentral is "lncRNA (ENSSMRG00000013908.1)". Lineage: Eukaryota; Metazoa; Chordata; Lepidosauria; Squamata; Teiidae. The record is from RNAcentral.
AGAAAGAAAACCAAAUUACUCCCUCUAAAAUCCUUCUCAGCAUCAGGGGAUGAUGCCAGCUAUAACCCAGCAAACACUGCUCUACAGCUGGACGAAACAAAGAGGGGAAUGAGUUAGCCGAUGUAAACAACCAAACAAGGGCUGUCAGUCUUUAUAAAGACGAUGAACCAAACGUUUUUGCAGAGCCUGUGAUCUUCUCCCAAACAUUGUGGCUUUUCCUCCUGCAGCUGCUCAGCAGACCAUCCGCAUCCCCAAAACUCUUGGAGUCGGCCCAAGGCUGGCUAAAAACCAACGGGCCAGUGGUCAUCUGUAGCUUACAGCAUGCCCUGGCGUGGUGGAGUCGAGAUGAUGCCAUUACACUGCACCUCAAGGCUCUGGCCUGUCCAAAAGUCAAUACUGCUAUGACAACAUUGCUGGUCAAAGCUGCCCUCNCAGCUCACAUACUGGAGAACCUGGAAUUCAAGAACCAGGCCAGUGAUGAAGACAUCCACUUCACUUCCCAAGAGCUGAGAUCCUCACGGUUGGCUGUUCAGACACUGCUUGCUCAACACGGAAUGNUGCCCGUGAUCAGUCUGGAGUGACGGCUGGUGGGAAGCAAGAGUCAUCCUACUUGGGGCUGGGGGGAGUUGAUUUAUUGUUUGUUUUAUCUUGUUUUGGUGAAUCACAGAGAACUUUUUAAAAAUAAACAAACCAGUAUGGAGAAGGAGCUGACUGUA